UGAGGAAUAUUGGUCAAUGGACGAGAGUCUGAACCAGCCAAGUAGCGUGCAGGAUGACGGCCCUAUGGGUUGUAAACUGCUUUUGUUUGGGAAUAAUCGACAUUACGUGUAAUGUUUUGCAUGUACCAUUCGAAUAAGGACCGGCUAAUUCCGUGCCAGCAGCCGCGGUAAUACGGAAGGUCCAGGCGUUAUCCGGAUUUAUUGGGUUUAAAGGGAGUGUAGGCGGUUGGUUAAGCGUGUUGUGAAAUGUAGAUGCUCAACAUCUGACUUGCAGCGCGAACUGGCUGACUUGAGUACACACAACGUAGGCGGAAGUCAUGGUGUAGCGGUGAAAUGCUUAGAUAUCAUGAAGAACUCCGAUUGCGAAGGCAGCUUACGGGAGUGUUACUGACGCUUAAGCUCGAAGGUGCGGGUAUCGAACAGG
This 424-nucleotide ribosomal RNA is filed under the name Verrucomicrobiota bacterium. Its description in RNAcentral is "Verrucomicrobia bacterium partial 16S ribosomal RNA". It matches the Rfam family "Bacterial small subunit ribosomal RNA", at positions 355 to 776 of the family's 1533-position model. The record is from RNAcentral. Lineage: Bacteria; Pseudomonadati; Verrucomicrobiota.